AUUGAACGCUGGCGGCAUGCUUUACACAUGCAAGUCGGACGGCAGCACAGAGAAGCUUGCUUCUUGGGUGGCGAGUGGCGAACGGGUGAGUAAUAUAUCGGAACGUACCGAGUAAUGGGGGAUAACUAAUCGAAAGAUUAGCUAAUACCGCAUAUUCUCUGAGGAGGAAAGCAGGGGACCUUCGGGCCUUGCGUUAUUCAAGCGGCCGAUAUCUGAUUAGCUAGUUGGUGGGGUAAAGGCCUACCAAGGCGACGAUCAGUAGCGGGUCUGAGAGGAUGAUCCGCCACACUGGGACUGAGACACGGCCCAGACUCCUACGGGAGGCAGCAGUGGGGAAUUUUGGACAAUGGGCGCAAGCCUGAUCCAGCCAUGCCGCGUGUCUGAAGAAGGCCUUCGGGUUGUAAAGGACUUUUGUCAGGGAAGAAAAGGCUGUUGCUAAUAUCAAUAGCUGAUGACGGUACCUGAAGAAUAAGCACCGGCUAACUACGUG
RNAcentral lists this ribosomal RNA (490 nucleotides) under uncultured bacterium. RNAcentral's name for it is "partial 16S ribosomal RNA". It matches the Rfam family "Bacterial small subunit ribosomal RNA", at positions 30 to 507 of the family's 1533-position model. The record is from RNAcentral.